Molecule: small nuclear RNA, 102 nt
Organism: Cricetulus griseus (Chinese hamster)
Lineage: Eukaryota; Metazoa; Chordata; Mammalia; Rodentia; Cricetidae
Source: Ensembl
GAGCACACUUCAACAGCACAUCUAGUAAACUUGGACCAAUACAGAGAAUAUUAGCAUGUCCCUGUUUAUGGCACGCAAAUUUAUGAAGCACUCAGACAUUUA